This is a long non-coding RNA of Sorghum bicolor (sorghum), 1102 nucleotides long. RefSeq lists it as uncharacterized. The record is from RefSeq and is a predicted model, not a curated record. NCBI's taxonomy places the organism in Eukaryota, Viridiplantae, Streptophyta, Magnoliopsida, Poales, Poaceae. The transcript has 9 exons.
CAGUGGCCUGGCGCACAGGCGGACCCCCCUCCUCCUAGCCCUUGCUGUGUCAGUCGCCGUCGCGGUGGAGGAGCCCAGGGGGCUCAGGCCGCCUGGAGCAGCUAGAGCCGGCCGGUCACCUGCCUUCCCAUCAAGGGUGCGGCUAAGAAGGACGGGCAGAAGAUCUGUAAGUUGACCGUUGCCAGUGUGGCAGUAGAUAUUCGGACUAUGUUAGAAGAAACCCAGCUGAAAUUUGAGGAAAGACAGAGGGUUUGAAGGUCAUUGGGAUCACAAAUAAGAGGGAAACCACUGUUAUGUGGAGUAAAUCCAUUGGUUGUCCACUGUACAAUGCCAUUGUGUGGAUGGAUGCUCGUACAAGCUCUGUUUGCAAGAGAUUACAAAGUGAGCUAUCAGGUGGUAGAACCCACUUCAUGGAGACUUGUCGGCUGCCAAUCAGUACCUAUUUCAGUGCUCUUAUAUUAUUAUGCUUGAUGGAAAAUGUGGAUGCUGUCAAGGAUGCAGUCCAGACUGGUCUUCAGUGUGAAAUGACUACUGAAAUGGAAGGAUCUCGGCACAAACAUGCUACAUGGGCACUUCAGUCUUCAUCUUCAAAAGUAGACAAGGCUGUCAGGCAUGGAUGUAGAAGAGAUGCUUCAUUUUAGUGUUUCAAGAAACUUCAAAUCCAUUUGGUCAAAAAUAAUUUUAGAGUUGAUCUAGGAAAGCAAGGACAUGGUUGGUUUUGGUUGGUUUUUUUUCCUAGAAGGAGCAGACAUUUAUUUGAUUUAAGUGCAUGGAGUAUUGUUUGGGGAAUGGAACUACGUGGAAGCACUGUUGAGCUCAGACAGAUAUGGAGGAAGAGCUACCACCAGAUCGACCACCACCGGCAGAUCGACAGAGAUGGAGGAGCUCGUUUCGCUGGCGUCUCAAGAAUUGGACAGAAAUGGGGUAGGCUGGGGAGAAACCGGCAGGGACAGCAGAGGAGCUGAAACAUUAUAUCAUCAUUCAUAUUCACCAUAUAUAGUUCAUCAAAUGAUUUCAACAGAGAAUUGUUUUAUACACACGUACGUGCCAAUGAGAAGUUUGUCAUCGUUCAUAUGGAUGGGGGCACUACUACUGGCUAUAA